GAUGGGCGUAUCACAGUGAUAUAAACAGCAGAGGGACCUGUACAAAAAUCCAAAGUAGGAAAAAAGAUGAGAUUUUUUGGGAAGGAAAGGAGAGGGGUGACUGUGAUGUGUAAGAAGAGAAGUACAACAUUUGUUUUAUGUUUCCUUUUAUCCUGGAUACAUAAAAUAGAUCCAGGGGAAUUUAAAAGAGGAAAGAAAGGGAGAUUUUGAAAAUUCUGUACUCAAUCAAGAUAACUGAAAUAAUCAAACUUUCCAAGUGAUUUUUUUUCCCUUUCCAAUCUACAAAGAAAAUCUACCUCUGGAUCAUCUUAUGGACUUGCACUUAAGAUAAUUAGGCCAACUAUCCAGCUUUCCAUCUCUAGAUUUACAACACUUUUGAACACCAUGAGGAAAGAGUGAGUUAUUGGAGGAAGUCUUAGCAGUGUGAGGCCAACAAAAGGACCAGGGACGAUUCUCAGAGUUGUACCAAAGGUCAUUGUGGAGAAAUCAACUAAAUCAGAAGAUGUUGGCACCACUGGGAAAACAACACCUUUGCCAACGAUUUUCCAUACAACGAACAUCAGCUUGGAGAUGACCUCUAAAGAACCAAACACAUCCACUUCGACAGCAGAGGUGAUCUGCACGGACAAGUUCGACAGCAGCAUGAUAACAAUACUGCCAGAUCCUGAAGAGCAGAGAGUGAACAUGCUGUCCAUGGCUGUGUUGGGUUUGCGAGUCCUGCUGGCAAAGAGCAUCGCCUUCAAUGCCCUCAUGAGUAUCAAGUUGUUUCUUUUCUGAGUCAUGGAAAAUGAAGGCAAGAGGAACCCGAAGAAGAGCAGGAAAGAACGUGAACCAGCAGCACAAGGGGGUUGAACAAGCAGGGGCAGAGCAGCUGACAGAGACCAGCCAGGACACAAGGCAGCACCUUCCCCUCAAGACAUUGAAUCCUCUUCACUCCUGCCUGGCCAGCUGAUUUACACUGAAGAGUUUUAAGUGCUUUUGCUGUUUCCCCUCCUCUGAGAACAGAGGAGGGUGAAUUUAUCCUCAUCCUCCUGCUUAGCAGAUCUCCCCACUCUUCUGGCAUUUGUACACAAGUGUCCAACCUGCAUCAAUAGUUUUGAAAACUCCAGUGCUGACUCUAGACCUGUGGCCUUUCAAAAGCACCUUUGCCAGGCAUGUUGUGUUACUGCCUCUAGAACUGGAGUAUUACUGCUGAGAGAAUUCAAGCCCUGGAGCUGCCAUUUCUGGCUCUGGGUUUUAGACAGAUUUAAUAACAUCAAGUGUGUAUUGCAGAUGGGAAGAACUGUGUAGGAUUUGAAGUGAUUUAAUUCAAGCAGAAAAUGUUCAUUUCUUUAUGAAGCCUCUAUUUCUUCUGCCAAAUGUAUCUCAUGUGCAUUUUAGGUUCCUGUAGUAGUGAUGAAAAUAAAGUUGUGCCAGGCCAAAA
Long non-coding RNA from Poecile atricapillus (Black-capped chickadee), 1423 nucleotides. RefSeq lists it as uncharacterized. The transcript is spliced from 4 exons. Lineage: Eukaryota; Metazoa; Chordata; Aves; Passeriformes; Paridae. The record is from RefSeq and is a predicted model, not a curated record.